CGGGAACACAGGAGAAAUGUGUCACCUGUGGCAAAACAGCAUAUCCAUUGGAAAAGGUGACUGUCGAAGAAAAAUCAUACCACAAGAUCUGUUUCAAAUGCUCCCACGGAGGCUGUUCCAUCUCUCCUUCCAACUACGCGGCAUUGGAGGGCAUCCUUUACUGCAAGCCUCAUUUCUCUCAGCUUUUCAGGGAGAAGGGUAGCUACAACCAUCUCAUCAAGUGUGCUUCGAUCAAGCGCACAGCGGCAUCGGUUCCCGACCUUUAAUCCUGCACAUACUCUGGGAAUCUAUUCUGAGCUAUCCUGGUCUUUUAGUCUAUUUG
This 322-nucleotide unclassified non-coding RNA is filed under the name Hevea brasiliensis (rubber tree). Lineage: Eukaryota; Viridiplantae; Streptophyta; Magnoliopsida; Malpighiales; Euphorbiaceae. The record is from RNAcentral.